UGGUAGAGAGCCACGGUACAGUAAGACACGCCCCGGGCCCUCAAGGGGCUCACCAGCUAGUGAGCAUCAGAGACAAGAGAACAGUAUUAUUAGUAAUAAUAUAGCAACUGGUCCCCAAGGAGGACUUCGUUUCAAUUUGGAGGAGGAGGAAAUGCUUCCCAGGAGUGAUGUCUGGUACUGGUAUUGGGCCCUGAACGGUAUCUUGAGACAGGUGAAGAACAACUCUCCAAAAGGAACAAGAAAAGGGAGUUAAACGGAUACACUUCAGCACUCAGCACCUGCACAUCAGAAUACACAGUUCCUCAGGAAGCGAGCUUCUCUGCAGCAAGGCUAUAUCACCAACCGGACACCAACAUCAUCUGACGGCAAGUAAAUCACCACAGCAGCCAUGGGCCCUGACAGACAAAUGCUCUGUCUCAGAAAAUCCAGGCCUAUCACUCAGAAGGGGAAAAAGGUUCUCUCAGCUGGUCUCGCAGAGAAGAGAUUAAAUGUUGCAGAUUUUGUAAGCAGCAACAGUGCAUUAUCCCAACCUUAAUCAGAGCCAACAGUACAAGAACAAUGUCCUGCUACCUAUCAAAUGGGGACUACUUUAGCAAGAGCUGUUCUUUUAUAAUGAAGACUGUGUAAUAAAAGAUACCACUAAUA
This is a long non-coding RNA of Neofelis nebulosa (Clouded leopard), 645 nucleotides long. RefSeq lists it as uncharacterized. NCBI's taxonomy places the organism in Eukaryota, Metazoa, Chordata, Mammalia, Carnivora, Felidae. The record is from RefSeq and is a predicted model, not a curated record. The transcript is spliced from 4 exons.